This 75-nucleotide transfer RNA is filed under the name Bacteroidales bacterium. RNAcentral describes it as "tRNA-Val". It matches the Rfam family "tRNA". Rfam says of the family: Transfer RNA (tRNA) molecules are approximately 80 nucleotides in length. Lineage: Bacteria; Pseudomonadati; Bacteroidota; Bacteroidia; Bacteroidales. The record is from RNAcentral.
GGGAGUUUAGCUCAGCUGGUUCAGAGCAUCUGCCUUACAAGCAGGGGGUCACUGGUUCGAAUCCAGUAACUCCCA